ACACAGCAGACAAGGAAUCCCUGAAACAAUCUAAAGCCAUGUGGAAAAUGCUGAAGGAAAUGCUGAAGGGAAAACAAGGAGUGAAAGGAGAGGCUGUGCAGAAGGAAGCAUUUCCCAGAGGAAGCAGUGAUUCAGUGCCAGUAUCCAUUGCUGGAAGAGAGGAGAUGCCAGGCACAGUCACAGGAGGUGACCUUCCUCGGAAGAUUUCUCCACUAGCUUGGCUGCAUAAUGAUUUGAA
Molecule: long non-coding RNA, 238 nt
Organism: Ficedula albicollis (Collared flycatcher)
Lineage: Eukaryota; Metazoa; Chordata; Aves; Passeriformes; Muscicapidae
Exons: 3
Source: RefSeq, a predicted model, not a curated record